RNAcentral lists this unclassified non-coding RNA (1481 nucleotides) under Hevea brasiliensis (rubber tree). The record is from RNAcentral. Lineage: Eukaryota; Viridiplantae; Streptophyta; Magnoliopsida; Malpighiales; Euphorbiaceae.
UGCUUCCUUCUAAUGCCUUGCAUAAUAACCUUAGUGCUGAUGAUCCCUCAAAGUUGCUGAAUUUUCAAGCCCCUGGCCUGUCCAUGCCAGGUCUCCAUUUUAACAAAGCAAAUCCACAAAACCAAGUCAGCCAGCUGCCACAGUCAUCAGCAUGGACUCAGCAGCAACAGCUGCAGCAAUUAUUGCAGACCAAUAUCAACCAACAGCAGUCAUCUCAUCCUCAACAGCAACAGCAGCAGCCUCAUCCCCAACAGCAACAGCAGAGGCAGCAACCACAACCACCNACAGCAACAACAAUUGAACCAACAGCAGCAGCCACAAUCACAGCCACAGCCGCAGCCACAAUCACAGCCACAGCCUCCACAGUUACAACUGCAGCAGCAGCAGCAAAUAUUCCAGCCUCCUGUAAAUAAUGGUGUUGUUACCCCUAACCAAAUUUCAAAUCAAACUUUGCAGCAACCACUUGUUUACUCUCAGCUUCAGCAGCAACAGCAGCUACUGGCAAGCAAUACCCAAUCCCAAAAUAUCUCCUCUGCUAAUAAAAGUUCAUAUCAGCUGACAUCUUUGCCACAAGAUACUCCAUUCCAGCAACAAAUGGAGCAGCAGUCUAGCCUCUUACAGAGACACCAGCAGCAGACACAAUUGCAACAGUCCCCACUGCAAUUAUUGGAACAAAAUGUGGCAACACAGCAACAACCACAUCCACAGCCACAACAACUAUCACAGCCUGGUCUCUCUGAGCAACAGCUUCACUUGCAGUUGCUGCAGAAAUUGCAGCAGCAGCAGCAGCAGCAGUUGCUUUCCCCUACGAGCUCACCUUUGCAGUCUCAGCUGCUACAGCAACAGCAGACCCAUCAACAAAACCAGCAGUUCCAGCAGUUGCCUCUUUCACAGAGUCAGCAGCAGCCACUCGGUAGCAAUAGCUUCUCAACAGCAGCACUCAUGCAAUCACAAUCUUUCCCUGCGAGCCAGUCCCAUGGCCUGCAGAAGUCACCGACAACAAUUAGACCUCAUUCUACUCUCACAGAUGCAGAUGCUCCAUCUUGUUCAACCUCACCUUCUACUAAUAACUGCCAAAUUUCUCCAUCAAAUUUCCUGAAUAGAAACCAACAAACACCGGCAAUAUUGAUGGGAGACCCAGUGAUUGAGCCUGCAAAUAAUCUGGUUCAGGAGCUCAAUAGCAAGUCUGAUACUCGAGUUAAACACGAGUUUCCUAGUUCAAAAGGAUCAGACCAACUAAAAUACAAAAGUACAAUUACUGAUCAAUUGGAAGCCUCCUCUUCUGGAACGUCAUAUUGCCUGGAUGCUGGCAACAUCCAGCCAAAUUUCUCACUCCCCACCUUUGGUUUGGAUGGUGAUGUGCAAUCACAUCCUCGGAACAGUCUGCCUUUUGCAACAAAUAUUGAUAACUUGGCACCAGACACUUUGUUGUCAAGGGGAUAUGACUCUCAGAAAGAUCUUCAAAACUUGCUAACUAAUUA